RNAcentral lists this ribosomal RNA (520 nucleotides) under uncultured Glomus. RNAcentral's name for it is "SSU rRNA". It matches the Rfam family "Eukaryotic small subunit ribosomal RNA", at positions 569 to 1091 of the family's 1831-position model. The record is from RNAcentral. Lineage: Eukaryota; Fungi; Glomeromycota; Glomeromycetes; Glomerales; Glomeraceae.
AGCAGCCGCGGUAAUUCCAGCUCCAAUAGCGUAUAUUAAAGUUGUUGCAGUUAAAAAGCUCGUAGUUGAAUUUCGGGAUCGACGGGUCGGUCGCGCCUCUGGUGUGUACUGGCCCUGUCGGUUUCUCCCUUCUGACGAACCACGAUGUCAUUAAUUUGGUGUCGUGGGAAAUCAGGACUGUUACUUUGAAAAAAUUAGAGUGUUUAAAGCAGGCAUUCGCUUGAAUACAUUAGCAUGGAAUAAUGAAAUAGGACGUUUGAUCUUAUUUUGUUGGUUUCUAAGAUCGACGUAAUGAUUAAUAGGGAUAGUUGGGGGCAUUAGUAUUCAAUUGUCAGAGGUGAAAUUCUUGGAUUUAUUGAAGACUAACUACUGCGAAAGCAUUUGCCAAGGAUGUUUUCAUUAAUCAAGAACGAAAGUUAGGGGAUCGAAGACGAUCAGAUACCGUCGUAGUCUUAACCAUAAACUAUGCCGACUAGGGAUCGGAUGAUGUUAAUUUUUAAUGACUCAUUCGGCGCCUUAC